UAACGUUCGGAAACGGACGCUAAUACCGCAUACGUCCUACGGGAGAAAGCGGGGGAGUCUUCGGACCUCGCGCCAUUAGAUGAGCCUAGGUCGGAUUAGCUAGUUGGUGAGGUAAUGGCUCACCAAGGCGACGAUCCGUAACUGGUCUGAGAGGAUGAUCAGUCACACUGGAACUGAGACACGGUCCAGACUCCUACGGGAGGCAGCAGUGGGGAAUAUUGGACAAUGGGCGAAAGCCUGAUCCAGCCAUGCCGCGUGUGUGAAGAAGGUCUUCGGAUUGUAAAGCACUUUAAGUUGGGAGGAAGGGUAGUAACCUAAUACGUUGCUACUUUGACGUUACCGACAGAAUAAGCACCGGCUAACUUCGUG
RNAcentral lists this ribosomal RNA (369 nucleotides) under uncultured bacterium. RNAcentral's name for it is "bacterial SSU rRNA". It matches the Rfam family "Bacterial small subunit ribosomal RNA", at positions 144 to 507 of the family's 1533-position model. The record is from RNAcentral.